UUCCCGAGCGGUGACCAGAGCAGAGCGCGGGGCAACACAAACACCCAGCCGCCGGCACCAGCUCCCACCGACGAGGCUGGCUCACUGGGCGGGCACCGCGGGGCCAAAACACACCCUCUGGGAAAUCCAGUUUCCUUCGCUGGGAUCUGUGUUCAUCGGGUCGUUUCUGGUCUUAAUUUGAUUUCGGAUGGUUUCCUCGCUGGAAGAGAAAGCCCUAAUGGGGCCCAGACCACGCAGUGAUUCAGUUUUCUUCUUCCCUUAGGAACCUCCAGUGUGUGCUGGCGUUGGGUGUUUGCUCCAAAUCAUCUUCUCUCUCAGGCCCAACUGCAUUUGCCCCCAGCAGGAGAGCAGUCCCCCUGAGCAAUGGAUUAAGCCAACAAACAUUUAUUAAGAGCCGGCUGUCUACUUGGAAGCAAGCAAGGACUGAAGGUGCUGGGACCCAACAGAGGGAGCCUGCCCUUCCCAGGGACCAUGGGGCUCCCUGCAGCAGAAAUGCACUGACAUCUGCCUCUAGCCCUUGAGGUUCCAGAAAACCUGAGGCACAGGAAAGGAGUGAUAUGCCCUUAUCGGCCUGAAGACUGGACCCACCGGAGAGAACCUGUUACAAGUCAAUUCAUUCUCCAGGUCCAUUCAUUCUCCCUGCUAAUCAUUUACCACCCUCCACACUGAGCCUAUGAAGAAGGGUGUGUAUGCAUCGACUGCAGAGGGUUGGUCGGCGAUGACGCUCCUCCCGCUGUUGUCUACAAAGCCAACCCCUGGGCUCAGCUCAUCAGAACACCCACCCUGUUCCAUGGAAUGAAGUGUCGCCCAAUUCUGGAAUCAAAAAUAAAGCCAAUGAAGAUCCUUAAAUCAAA
Marmota monax (woodchuck) is the source of this 854-nucleotide long non-coding RNA. RefSeq lists it as uncharacterized. The record is from RefSeq and is a predicted model, not a curated record. The transcript has 4 exons. Lineage: Eukaryota; Metazoa; Chordata; Mammalia; Rodentia; Sciuridae.